This 285-nucleotide unclassified non-coding RNA is filed under the name Hevea brasiliensis (rubber tree). Lineage: Eukaryota; Viridiplantae; Streptophyta; Magnoliopsida; Malpighiales; Euphorbiaceae. The record is from RNAcentral.
AGAAGACUUUAAUGCAUUAAUGGUAUUGCUAUGUCAUAGCAAUUUGUGACAUUAACCAUAGUUCAGCAAUGGAAUAUCAAAGGCAAAAAGUGUUCAUUACAAUUAAAAAGAGGACAUCUCCUUUCCCUCUACCCUUUUAUAGAGCAUCAAAACAAUGGUUCACAAGCCACCCAUUCCGAAAAGAAAUGUUUCAAGCUCACUCUAAUAGUGAAUCAUAUAAGCAUCACCCAUCCUUUUUAGUACACCAUGCAUUGUCAUUUAUUAACAAUUAAUCAUACCCAGAAA